UACGUAGGCAGCAAGCGUUGUUCGGAGUUACUGGCGUAAAGGGUGUGUAGGCGGUCUUCUAAGUUUGGUGUGAAAUCUCCCGGCUCAACUGGAGGUGCGCCGAAAACUGGAGGCUAGAGUGCGGGAUGGAGAGUGGAAUUCCUGGUGUAGCGGUGAAAUGCGUAGAGAUCAUGAGGAAGACCAGUGGCGAAGGCGGUCUCUGGACAGUUCCUGACACUGAGGCACGAAGGCCAGGGAGCAAACGG
Molecule: ribosomal RNA, 245 nt
Filed under: uncultured bacterium
Lineage: Bacteria
Description: partial 16S ribosomal RNA
Rfam family: Bacterial small subunit ribosomal RNA
Source: RNAcentral